RNAcentral lists this ribosomal RNA (448 nucleotides) under uncultured bacterium. RNAcentral's name for it is "partial 16S ribosomal RNA". It matches the Rfam family "Bacterial small subunit ribosomal RNA", at positions 328 to 792 of the family's 1533-position model. The record is from RNAcentral.
CUCCCAGACUCCUACGGGAGGCAGCAGUGGGGGAUAUUGCACAAUGGGGGGAACCCUGAUGCAGCGACGCCGCGUGGGUGAAGGAGCGUUUCGGCGCGUAAAGCCCUAUCGGCAGGGAAGAAGGAGGACGGUACCUGACUAAGAAGCCCCGGCUAACUACGUGCCAGCAGCCGCGGUAAUACGUAGGGGGCAAGCGUUAUCCGGAUUUACUGGGUGUAAAGGGAGCGUAGACGGCUGCGCAAGUCAGAAGUGAAAGCCCGGGGCUCAACCGCGGGACUGCUUUUGAAACUGUGUAGCUAGAGUGCAGGAGAGGUAAGUGGAAUUCCUAGUGUAGCGGUGAAAUGCGUAGAUAUUAGGAGGAACACCAGUGGCGAAGGCGGCUUGCUGGACAGAGACUGACGUUGAGGCUCGAAAGCGUGGGGAGCAAACAGGAUUAGAUACCCCCGUA